GACGAACGCUGGCGGCGUGCUUAACACAUGCAAGUCGAACGGAAAGGCCCUGCUUUUGUGGGGUGCUCGAGUGGCGAACGGGUGAGUAACACGUGAGUAACCUGCCCUUGACUUUGGGAUAACUCCAGGAAACUGGGGCUAAUACCGGAUAGGAGCUCCUGCCGCAUGGUGGGGGUUGGAAAGUUUCGGCGGUUGGGGAUGGACUCGCGGCUUAUCAGCUUGUUGGUGGGGUAGUGGCUUACCAAGGCUUUGACGGGUAGCCGGCCUGAGAGGGUGACCGGCCACAUUGGGACUGAGAUACGGCCCAGACUCCUACGGGAGGCAGCAGUGGGGAAUAUUGCACAAUGGGCGGAAGCCUGAUGCAGCAACGCCGCGUGCGGGAUGACGGCCUUCGGGUUGUAAACCGCUUUCGCCUGUGACGAAGCGUGAGUGACGGUAAUGGGUAAAGAAGCACCGGCUAACUACGUG
RNAcentral lists this ribosomal RNA (468 nucleotides) under uncultured bacterium. Its description in RNAcentral is "partial 16S ribosomal RNA". It matches the Rfam family "Bacterial small subunit ribosomal RNA", at positions 28 to 507 of the family's 1533-position model. The record is from RNAcentral.